UGGGGAAUAUUGCACAAUGGGCGCAAGCCUGAUGCAGCCAUGCCGCGUGUGUGAAGAAGGCCUUCGGGUUGUAAAGCACUUUCAGCGAGGAGGAAGGGUUCAGUGUUAAUAGCACUGUUCAUUGACGUUACUCGCAGAAGAAGCACCGGCUAACUCCGUGCCAGCAGCCGCGGUAAUACGGAGGGUGCAAGCGUUAAUCGGAAUUACUGGGCGUAAAGCGCACGCAGGCGGUUUGUUAAGUCAGAUGUGAAAUCCCCGCGCUUAACGUGGGAA
RNAcentral lists this ribosomal RNA (273 nucleotides) under uncultured bacterium. RNAcentral describes it as "partial 16S ribosomal RNA". It matches the Rfam family "Bacterial small subunit ribosomal RNA", at positions 355 to 620 of the family's 1533-position model. The record is from RNAcentral.